AACUUUCUGUGUUUUCUCACAGGAAAUUACUUGAGCAGAAGGAUGAGGAACUCCAGCAGCAUGUGCGGUCAUUGCGGGCAAAGGAGGCAAGUUUGAUACGCACAAACUUGGAAAUAUCUCACCGUGUACAGGAGUUGGAGACUCGGCUGCAGGUCCUGGAGAGUGAACUUAACACUGCUAGAGAAGAGCAGAGAAGUGGUCAGAAGAGCUGCCACAGGCUAGAAGAACAGCUGCUGGCUGCCCAGCACGAGUCUGAGAGACUGCAGGAAGAGCUGAAGCUGGUCGUCCAGCAGCUUGACACAAACAUCAGGAGAUACAAUGAAAAACAGUCACAGCAGAAAACCAAGUUGCGCAAAGCUAAACAGAUCUUCAUGAAGACAGUCAGCCAACAUGAGCACAGAAUCCAGGAGCUGGAGAACGA
This is a long non-coding RNA of Danio aesculapii, 421 nucleotides long. RefSeq lists it as uncharacterized. The transcript has 3 exons. The record is from RefSeq and is a predicted model, not a curated record. NCBI's taxonomy places the organism in Eukaryota, Metazoa, Chordata, Actinopteri, Cypriniformes, Danionidae.